GAUGAACGCUGGCGGCGUGCCUAAUACAUGCAAGUCGAGCGAACGGACGAGAAGCUUGCUUCUCUGAUGUUAGCGGCGGACGGGUGAGUAACACGUGGAUAAACUACCUAUAAGACUGGGAUAACUUCGGGAAACCGUAGCUAAUACCGGAUAAUAUUUUGAACCGCAUGGUUCAAAAGUGAAGGACGGCCUUGCUGUCACUUAUAGAUGGAUCCGCGCUGCAUUAGCUAGUUGGUAAGGUAACGGCUUACCAAGGCAACGAUGCAUAGCCGACCUGAGAGGGUGAUCGGCCACACUGGAACUGAGACACGGUCCAGACUCCUACGGGAGGCAGCAGUAGGGAAUCUUCCGCAAUGGGCGAAAGCCUGACGGAGCAACGCCGCGUGAGUGAUGAAGGUCUUCGGAUCGUAAAACUCUGUUAUUAGGGAAGAACAUAUGUGUAAGUAACUGUGCACAUCUUGACGGUACCUAAUCAGAAAGCCACGGCUAACUACGUG
Molecule: ribosomal RNA, 497 nt
Filed under: uncultured bacterium
Lineage: Bacteria
Description: partial 16S ribosomal RNA
Rfam family: Bacterial small subunit ribosomal RNA
Source: RNAcentral